UGGCGUGGAGAGGAGGUUGUGUUGCUCUGGCUCUAUCUAUUUGGCGUGGAGAGGAGGUCGCGUUGCUCUGGCUCCAUCUAUUUGGCAGGGAGAGGAGCUUGUGUUGCUCUGGCUCUAUCUGUUUGGCUAUGCUGGGAAGCUGCUUGACAUCCUCCUGAAUCCA
This is a long non-coding RNA of Sebastes umbrosus (honeycomb rockfish), 163 nucleotides long. RefSeq lists it as uncharacterized. The record is from RefSeq and is a predicted model, not a curated record. NCBI's taxonomy places the organism in Eukaryota, Metazoa, Chordata, Actinopteri, Perciformes, Sebastidae. The transcript is spliced from 3 exons.